GCGCGCACAGACGACCGGGCUGCUGUGAGGAGCGCGAGAGAGAGCGCGGUGUCUGUCCUCUCGCGGCUGUGUGAGCUCUCGCCCAGACGCCUUUCCCCCCUCCGUUCGCUCAAAAUAAACAUCUGCUGCUAGGAGCGGCGCUCAGACGCCCGAGUGCGUGCUCCCAACUCCCGCCGCACAAAACUUGCAUCCUGACUCACACCGAGGGGAUUUACAAACGCACAGCAGGAGCGGCUGCUCUCCACGGAAAAUCUGGGGACGUCCACUUAUUCUCCCAAAGAAAGGGCUUUGUACAGCCAAGGUCAAUGAGGACAGACAAUACCACCAGUGUCUCAGCGGAUGAAGAGGGG
Molecule: long non-coding RNA, 350 nt
Organism: Anguilla anguilla (European eel)
Lineage: Eukaryota; Metazoa; Chordata; Actinopteri; Anguilliformes; Anguillidae
Exons: 2
Source: RefSeq, a predicted model, not a curated record